GUUGUGUUUGCUGAAUUAUUAGGUUUUAACAGAUUGUCGGUUCUAAUUAUGCAUCUGUUUGUUGUUGAUCAAUCAGAAGCAGAAUUUAAAAAAAUCCUUAAAGACAAAAAAGGCAUCUUGUAAAGCAUUGAAAAAGCAAAAUCACAAAAAUACUGAAUACAAAAAUACUGAACUCUGAAGAAAAUUCUAAACGGAAAGUCCAUAAGCAAAUGGCAAUAUCAAAAGCUCAAACACAUCAAACGAAUAAGCCAAGUGUUCAAUUCAAAGAUUAACAUUUUGAUUGACUAACAGAAACCUUUUUCUGACCGAAAUCACACCAAACG
This 323-nucleotide long non-coding RNA is filed under the name Mytilus galloprovincialis (Mediterranean mussel). Lineage: Eukaryota; Metazoa; Mollusca; Bivalvia; Mytilida; Mytilidae. The record is from RNAcentral.